This 659-nucleotide ribosomal RNA is filed under the name Enterobacter cloacae. RNAcentral describes it as "bacterial SSU rRNA". It matches the Rfam family "Bacterial small subunit ribosomal RNA", at positions 1 to 656 of the family's 1533-position model. Lineage: Bacteria; Pseudomonadati; Pseudomonadota; Gammaproteobacteria; Enterobacterales; Enterobacteriaceae. The record is from RNAcentral.
UCAAGAGGUUUGGGCAGGCUCAGAUUGAACGCUGGCGGCAGGCCUAACACAUGCAAGUCGAACGGUAGCACAGAGAGCUUGCUCUCGGGUGACGAGUGGCGGACGGGUGAGUAAUGUCUGGGAAACUGCCUGAUGGAGGGGGAUAACUACUGGAAACGGUAGCUAAUACCGCAUAAUGUCGCAAGACCAAAGAGGGGGACCUUCGGGCCUCUUGCCAUCAGAUGUGCCCAGAUGGGAUUAGCUAGUAGGUGGGGUAACGGCUCACCUAGGCGACGAUCCCUAGCUGGUCUGAGAGGAUGACCAGCCACACUGGAACUGAGACACGGUCCAGACUCCUACGGGAGGCAGCAGUGGGGAAUAUUGCACAAUGGGCGCAAGCCUGAUGCAGCCAUGCCGCGUGUAUGAAGAAGGCCUUCGGGUUGUAAAGUACUUUCAGCGGGGAGGAAGGUGUUGUGGUUAAUAACCGCAGCAAUUGACGUUACCCGCAGAAGAAGCACCGGCUAACUCCGUGCCAGCAGCCGCGGUAAUACGGAGGGUGCAAGCGUUAAUCGGAAUUACUGGGCGUAAAGCGCACGCAGGCGGUCUGUCAAGUCGGAUGUGAAAUCCCCGGGCUCAACCUGGGAACUGCAUCGAAACUGGCAGGCUGAGUACUUAGUGGA